RNAcentral lists this ribosomal RNA (252 nucleotides) under uncultured bacterium. RNAcentral's name for it is "partial 16S ribosomal RNA". It matches the Rfam family "Bacterial small subunit ribosomal RNA", at positions 525 to 776 of the family's 1533-position model. The record is from RNAcentral.
ACGGAGGGUGCAAGCGUUAAUCGGAAUUACUGGGCGUAAAGCGCUCGUAGGCGGCUUGUUAAGUCGGAUGUGAAAGCCCCGGGCUCAACCUGGGAACUGCAUUCGAUACUGGCAAGCUAGAGUAUAGUAGAGGCAAGUGGAAUUUCGGGUGUAGCGGUGAAAUGCGUAGAUAUCCGAAGGAACAUCAGUGGCGAAGGCGACUUGCUGGACUAAUACUGACGCUGAGGAGCGAAAGCGUGGGGAGCAAACGGG